AACGUAGGUGGCAAGCGUUAUCCGGAUUCACUGGGCGUAAAGCGCACGCAGGUGGCACGGCAGGUAGGGCAUGGAAACUCCUGGCUUAACUAGGAGAGGCUGUCCUAAACCGCCGGGCUUGAGGGUGAGAGAGGGAAGUGGAAUUGCCGGUGUAGUGGUGAAAUGCGUAGAGAUCGGCAGGAACACCAGUGGCGAAAGCGGCUUCCUGGCUCACUUCUGACACUCAUGUGCGAAAGCCAGGGGAGCAAACGGG
This 253-nucleotide ribosomal RNA is filed under the name uncultured bacterium. RNAcentral describes it as "partial 16S ribosomal RNA". It matches the Rfam family "Bacterial small subunit ribosomal RNA", at positions 524 to 776 of the family's 1533-position model. The record is from RNAcentral.